ACUAAAAAUAAAAGAACUGCUGUAUACAAACAGAGUAAAUAAUGAACUGGCCCCUGAACAAGUACAAACCAAAAAUUAAACCAUGAAUAAAUAUUUUAAGAAGAAACAACGAAGAUUAAACUGACCGCAUAUUAUCCAAAACAACCUAAGAACAUGAACAUUGAGGUCGAAAACAGUAAAAGACUUGCUAAAGGAAGAUUAAAGACGAACCUACUACAUAUAAUAAAGGGAAAAUAAUUCAUAUAGAUAGUUACGCGGUGUUGCGAAGGGUAUUACAACUGUAUCCAGUAAUCAGCAAACCAGGGGGGAGAGACUCGUACUUGUUGUAUUCUUCCACAACGUCUUCCAAAGUAGAGAAAAUGAACCUUUGAUCAGGGCAAGAGACGCGCUCAGCUAUACAAACCGGUAACACUCUAGGCCAACCGCUUUCAAUUAGUGCUUGCACAAGAAUUUCUAGUCGGUGUAAAGCCAUUAGGAAAACUGUGGUCUGUGUAGGGACAAAAGAAGGUAUUUUAGGCAUCGAACCCUUUUGACCAGUUCCAGUACACACAAGAAAUUGAUCGGCCACUCCACGAUGUGUAACGGGAAUACCAGCAGAGAUAGGGGCCAUCAAAGCACUACUGAUGCCAGGAAUAACCGUUGGUACAUAACCGUGUUGUGUAAAGAAUAGAUACUCUUCACCGCCUCGCCCAUAAAUAUAAGGAUCACCUUGCUUCAAACGGACAACAUAAUCACCUCUAGAUAAAGCAUCAAAAGCAACCUGGUGAAGUUCAUCUUGUGCCUUAUCCGCAUUUCCAGGAAAUUUUCUAGCAAUAAAUAGUGGAGUAUGCCUUGGAAU
Non-coding RNA from Schizosaccharomyces pombe (fission yeast), 838 nucleotides. Lineage: Eukaryota; Fungi; Ascomycota; Schizosaccharomycetes; Schizosaccharomycetales; Schizosaccharomycetaceae. The record is from the annotation of a GenBank genome assembly.